This 678-nucleotide ribosomal RNA is filed under the name uncultured bacterium. Its description in RNAcentral is "bacterial SSU rRNA". It matches the Rfam family "Bacterial small subunit ribosomal RNA", at positions 336 to 1007 of the family's 1533-position model. The record is from RNAcentral.
CUCCUACGGGAGGCAGCAGUGGGGAAUUUUGGACAAUGGGGGCAACCCUGAUCCAGCAAUGCCGCGUGUGUGAAGAAGGCCUUCGGGUUGUAAAGCACUUUUGUCCGGAAAGAAAACUUUCGCCCGAAUACGGUGGAGGGAUGACGGUACCGGAAGAAUAAGCACCGGCUAACUACGUGCCAGCAGCCGCGGUAAUACGUAGGGUGCGAGCGUUAAUCGGAAUUACUGGGCGUAAAGCGUGCGCAGGCGGUGAUGUAAGACCGAUGUGAAAUCCCCGGGCUUAACCUGGGAACUGCAUUGGUGACUGCAUUGCUGGAGUAUGGCAGAGGGGGGUGGAAUUCCACGUGUAGCAGUGAAAUGCGUAGAGAUGUGGAGGAACACCGAUGGCGAAGGCAGCCCCCUGGGCCAAUACUGACGCUCAUGCACGAAAGCGUGGGGAGCAAACAGGAUUAGAUACCCUGGUAGUCCACGCCCUAAACGAUGUCAACUGGUUGUCGGGCCUUCAUUGGCUUGGUAACGUAGCUAACGCGUGAAGUUGACCGCCUGGGGAGUACGGUCGCAAGAUUAAAACUCAAAGGAAUUGACGGGGACCCGCACAAGCGGUGGAUGAUGUGGAUUAAUUCGAUGCAACGCGAAAAACCUUACCUACCCUUGACAUGUACGGAACCUGGCUGAGAG